Molecule: ribosomal RNA, 2771 nt
Filed under: Klebsiella pneumoniae
Lineage: Bacteria; Pseudomonadati; Pseudomonadota; Gammaproteobacteria; Enterobacterales; Enterobacteriaceae
Description: bacterial LSU rRNA
Rfam family: Bacterial large subunit ribosomal RNA
Source: RNAcentral
AGCGUACACGGUGGAUGCCCUGGCAGUCAGAGGCGAUGAAGGACGUGCUAAUCUGCGAAAAGCGUCGGUAAGGUGAUAUGAACCGUUAUAACCGGCGAUGUCCGAAUGGGGAAACCCAGUGCAAUUCGUUGCACUAUCGUUAACUGAAUACAUAGGUUAACGAGGCGAACCGGGGGAACUGAAACAUCUAAGUACCCCGAGGAAAAGAAAUCAACCGAGAUUCCCCCAGUAGCGGCGAGCGAACGGGGAGCAGCCCAGAGUCUGAAUCAGCUUGUGUGUUAGUGGAACGGUCUGGAAAGUCCGACGGUACAGGGUGAUAGUCCCGUACACCAAAAUGCACAGGUUGUGAACUCGAAGAGUAGGGCGGGACACGUGGUAUCCUGUCUGAAUAUGGGGGGACCAUCCUCCAAGGCUAAAUACUCCUGACUGACCGAUAGUGAACCAGUACCGUGAGGGAAAGGCGAAAAGAACCCCGGCGAGGGGAGUGAAAAAGAACCUGAAACCGUGUACGUACAAGCAGUGGGAGCACCUUCGGGUGUGACUGCGUACCUUUUGUAUAAUGGGUCAGCGACUUAUAUUCUGUAGCAAGGUUAACCGUAUAGGGGAGCCGCAGGGAAACCGAGUCUUAACUGGGCGUUAAGUUGCAGGGUAUAGACCCGAAACCCGGUGAUCUAGCCAUGGGCAGGUUGAAGGUUGGGUAACACUAACUGGAGGACCGAACCGACUAAUGUUGAAAAAUUAGCGGAUGACUUGUGGCUGGGGGUGAAAGGCCAAUCAAACCGGGAGAUAGCUGGUUCUCCCCGAAAGCUAUUUAGGUAGCGCCUCGUGAAUUCAUCUUCGGGGGUAGAGCACUGUUUCGGCUAGGGGGUCAUCCCGACUUACCAACCCGAUGCAAACUACGAAUACCGAAGAAUGUUAUCACGGGAGACACACGGCGGGUGCUAACGUCCGUCGUGAAGAGGGAAACAACCCAGACCGCCAGCUAAGGUCCCAAAGUCAUGGUUAAGUGGGAAACGAUGUGGGAAGGCACAGACAGCCAGGAUGUUGGCUUAGAAGCAGCCAUCAUUUAAAGAAAGCGUAAUAGCUCACUGGUCGAGUCGGCCUGCGCGGAAGAUGUAACGGGGCUAAACCAUGCACCGAAGCUGCGGCAGCGACACUAUGUGUUGUUGGGUAGGGGAGCGUUCUGUAAGCCUGCGAAGGUGUGCUGUGAGGCAUGCUGGAGGUAUCAGAAGUGCGAAUGCUGACAUAAGUAACGAUAAAGCGGGUGAAAAGCCCGCUCGCCGGAAGACCAAGGGUUCCUGUCCAACGUUAAUCGGGGCAGGGUGAGUCGACCCCUAAGGCGAGGCCGAAAGGCGUAGUCGAUGGGAAACAGGUUAAUAUUCCUGUACUUGGUGUUACUGCGAAGGGGGGACGGAGAAGGCUAUGUUAGCCGGGCGACGGUUGUCCCGGUUUAAGCAUGUAGGCUGGUUGUCCAGGCAAAUCCGGAUAAUCAAGGCUGAGGUGUGAUGACGAGGUACUACGGUGCUGAAGUAACAAAUGCCCUGCUUCCAGGAAAAGCCUCUAAGCAUCAGGUAACAUUAAAUCGUACCCCAAACCGACACAGGUGGUCAGGUAGAGAAUACCAAGGCGCUUGAGAGAACUCGGGUGAAGGAACUAGGCAAAAUGGUGCCGUAACUUCGGGAGAAGGCACGCUGGUGUGUAGGUGAAGUCCCUGCGGAUGGAGCUGAGACCAGUCGAAGAUACCAGCUGGCUGCAACUGUUUAUUAAAAACACAGCACUGUGCAAACACGAAAGUGGACGUAUACGGUGUGACGCCUGCCCGGUGCCGGAAGGUUAAUUGAUGGGGUUAUCCGUAAGGAGAAGCUCUUGAUCGAAGCCCCGGUAAACGGCGGCCGUAACUAUAACGGUCCUAAGGUAGCGAAAUUCCUUGUCGGGUAAGUUCCGACCUGCACGAAUGGCGUAAUGAUGGCCAGGCUGUCUCCACCCGAGACUCAGUGAAAUUGAACUCGCUGUGAAGAUGCAGUGUACCCGCGGCAAGACGGAAAGACCCCGUGAACCUUUACUAUAGCUUGACACUGAACAUUGAGCCUUGAUGUGUAGGAUAGGUGGGAGGCUUUGAAGCGUGGACGCCAGUCUGCGUGGAGCCAACCUUGAAAUACCACCCUUUAAUGUUUGAUGUUCUAACGUUGGCCCCUUACCGGGGUUGCGGACAGUGUCUGGUGGGUAGUUUGACUGGGGCGGUCUCCUCCCAAAGCGUAACGGAGGAGCACGAAGGUUAGCUAAUCCUGGUCGGACAUCAGGAGGUUAGUGCAAUGGCAUAAGCUAGCUUGACUGCGAGCGUGACGGCGCGAGCAGGUGCGAAAGCAGGUCAUAGUGAUCCGGUGGUUCUGAAUGGAAGGGCCAUCGCUCAACGGAUAAAAGGUACUCCGGGGAUAACAGGCUGAUACCGCCCAAGAGUUCAUAUCGACGGCGGUGUUUGGCACCUCGAUGUCGGCUCAUCACAUCCUGGGGCUGAAGUAGGUCCCAAGGGUAUGGCUGUUCGCCAUUUAAAGUGGUACGCGAGCUGGGUUUAGAACGUCGUGAGACAGUUCGGUCCCUAUCUGCCGUGGGCGCUGGAGAAUUGAGGGGGGCUGCUCCUAGUACGAGAGGACCGGAGUGGACGCAUCACUGGUGUUCGGGUUGUCAUGCCAAUGGCACUGCCCGGUAGCUAAAUGCGGAAGAGAUAAGUGCUGAAAGCAUCUAAGCACGAAACUUGCCCCGAGAUGAGUUCU